GUGAGUGAGUCUUCAGCCUUUGAGAAUCCCGGGUCUGCUAUGUGGCCGCAGCAUGGGCUGUGGUACCCAGUGGCAGAGGUGCUGCUUGGAUGGGCCCCAGUGGAAAUAUGGGAGGCAGUAACGGGUCUCCUGCGAGUGUGGAGAAGGCACUGAAGCAGCUGGAAGCUCACAGCACCAAGAAGGAAUGCACCUUCGCUGGCGGAGUCGGAUGAGCAUUUCUGACUGCACUAGGCAGAGUACAUGCUCAGUCCCACAGGUAAGGGACCUCCCAGCGCAAGCCACGUGCCUGGGGGCCCAAGUGCACAGCUUAGACCAGGACCUGGGGGUGGGGGACCUGCAGGCACAAGCAGGGCGCUUGGAGGCCCAGAUAAGCAGCCUGGAACAGGAGUUAGCAAUGGCUGUUAGUGCGAUCUUCAGCCAGUCGUCCCAGUCAGACACUUCUGUUGGAUCUGAUGCUAAGGAGGAGGGGCUCCUUCCCUGCGGGCUCGCCCUGUGAUCCGUCAGAAGGUAGAACAUGAGGAGCCGAUGGGACCCCAGGGGAGAGCCCAGGACCCCCCACAACAGUGGUGGAACACACUUCUUAUAGUGCUUAUACCCCCACUGAGUUGCAGGAGUUGAGUAAACAGUGUUGGCAGCGCCCAGGGGAGCCCCUGCCAGCCUGGCUACUCCGUUUUUGGGAUGAGGGGGCUGAUAGCAUUUCUUGCUCUGCCUCCGAGAUGGAGAAGCUGGCCUCUAUUACAACUCACUCCUCCCUUCGUCAGACACUGCAGCUGUGCCAAUCAUUGGCACACGGGCAAGGUGUGGACAUUAAUAGAGUGGCUGAUGGCAGCCAUAUGGACUGUUUGGAAUGAUGCCAGAGAGAUAUCAAAAAUUGUGAGUAAAUGGCAAUCAUAUUCUGAUUUGGUGCAGGUACUCUGGGAGAUGGGCAGGUGACAGGCUAUGUUUUAUCUGAAUAUCCAGGGGCCAGAACGUUUUACCUCCCACAUGAGGGAUCUUGUGCUGGGCUCAGCGCCCCCGAGUGCUUUUGGCUAGAGUGCUUUUAGCACCCCCAUAUAUGGGGCACCGCAUAUAUGAAGUGACUACUGGCUGAGGUAGUAGACACAACACAGAGAAGCUCCCCACCUGGCUCUCAGCUACUAUUGUUUGUGUAGGGUAUAAAUGUAACGCUGACCCUGUGAGGGGCUGCUGAAUUGGCUUGUAGGCGAUUGGCCCAUUUGGGGCUAAGCGAUGUGGCAAGACCUCUGGGAAAUAGGUCAUCAGAAAUAGGUAACUAUUAUGUGUCAGGUCAUGUGCCUUUGGCCACCCCCUGUAAUGUUGAGGCGGAUGCCUUAGCCAAGGUCUGAUGGUUAGAGUCGGCACCUACACAAGAUGUAGCUUUGUGGCUACACAGGAAACUGGGACAGUUUCUGAACUGAUGUACUGAACUGAUGUAACAGGUCAGUAGGUACUGGGGUCUGUCUUUGCCUUCGCAGGACACUUUGGAGGCCUGCCGGAAGUGCCAGGCAUGCGCCCAGGCAUACCCCAGACGGAGACAGCUGCCCACUGUAACACAGCGAGUGACGUGGUAGAUUGGCGGCUCCAACAGCAUCGUAGACUGGGCCCACACCUACGCCGAGGUGACCAAUGUCUCCAACUGUUGGAUCUGCACCGCCCUUCCAGCAGCAGCUGCAGACAGCUGGCCCUGGCAUGUGCAUCCAGCUUCUGUGAAGAACCGGACAUAGCUAGAGACUUGAGGUCCCACAGACAAUGCGUGGGAUGCAACACAGUGGGCUUUGGAUGGGGGCAUGGCAAACCCCAUGGCGAGCCUGCCCCCUGGCUGACUCGCAGUGUCCAUGAUGAAUGGGGCUGGUUAAUGGGAAACACAUAGUGCCCCCAUUGCAGGUACCAUGAUGUAUAGAGAAGCACUGGGGUAAUGUCACUGUAGGAUGGUUGCCUGCUGAGGUUUGUGCAAAUAAAACAUGUGUCACCACACCAAGGGUGUGGAGGAACAAGCGACCUUACCAAGGCCGGGCCCCCAUGGACUUUGUGCCCCCUGGGAAUUUAUGGGUCUGUGGGGACACAGGAUGGCCAAAUCUGCCAGCCAAUUGGACUGGACGUUGUACCUGGGGGUGGCCUUAUGUGCCUGCCAUCAUGCUUCCCACAUUGCCUAGUUGCCCACAUAAUUGGGAGGCACUGCAUUCCCACUUUUUCUGAGUGCAGGGCACCCCCUGGUGGUUUUAUCCCUUAGCAAUACGUAUCCCUGGAGCAGGUGUCAUUACUUUGGAAAAGCAGGUUACAGCCUUUGCAGAGCACACAGCUGGGGCCCUAAAUUACACCCAAGUUGCUCUCCUUUUGUUAACUAAUGAAGUUGACCAGGUCAGGAAGGUGGUGCUGCAAAACACGAUGGCCUUAGACAUAGCCUUAGACAUGCAAGGACAUAGGUGGCCCCUGUGCCUUGUAGGGACACAAUGUUGUACAUUUAUCCCUGAAAACCACUGGAAUGUAACGGCAGCUUUGCAAGGGGUGUCAUAGGAGAUUAAGGCAAUUGAGCACCUUACUGAUGACCCCCUACAGAGAUGGUGGGCGUCUUUUGGGCUCUGGCCUAUGUUGGGCUCUCAUAAUCAUAAGUAGCAUAGCAGGAUAUUCCUGGUAGGUUGUUGCUCUCUGUGUGGUUGCUGUGGCCUAUGGGUCCAGGGUACUGCCAUAUGUGCACAGGUCCCCACCAAGAGGAUCCCCUUGGCCUAGAGGAUGGAGUGUAAGGAACAUGGCUGUGCUGUAGCCAAGCAGGCAUAGGGCAGCAGGCAUAGGCCAAGGUAAACAGCCUAAAUGACUCAGAGGGAUUGGGGUGCACGCGCACACUCCCAUGUCUCAUACAAUCAUAGCCAUGUAGACACAACAUAGAGAAGCUCCCCACCUGGCUCUCAGUCACUAAUGUCUGUGUAGGUAUAAAUGUAACACUGACCCUGUGAGGGGCUGCUGAAUAAAGCCAUGUCUCAUCUACC
RNAcentral lists this long non-coding RNA (2981 nucleotides) under Homo sapiens (human). RNAcentral's name for it is "HSALNT0193757". Lineage: Eukaryota; Metazoa; Chordata; Mammalia; Primates; Hominidae. The record is from RNAcentral.